This 254-nucleotide ribosomal RNA is filed under the name uncultured bacterium. RNAcentral's name for it is "partial 16S ribosomal RNA". It matches the Rfam family "Bacterial small subunit ribosomal RNA", at positions 524 to 776 of the family's 1533-position model. The record is from RNAcentral.
UACGGGGGGGGGCAAGCGUUGUUCGGAAUUACUGGGCGUAAAGGGCUUGUAGGUGGCCAACUAAGUCAAACGUGAAAUCCCUCGGCUUAACCGGGGAACUGCGUCUGAUACUGGAUGGCUCGAGUGUGGGAGAGGGAUGCGGAAUUCCUGGUGUAGCGGUGAAAUGCGCAGAUAUCAGGAGGAACACCGGUGGCGAAGGCGGGUCUCUGGGCCGAUACUGACGCUGAGGAGCGAAAGCGUGGGGAGCGAACAGG